UCUCAUGCCUUACUUGGUUUAUCUUCCACUAAUUGCUGAUAUUAGGAGAGCAAGAUCGCUCCAAUAAGUAAUUCUACCCGCAUUAUUUACUAAGAUUGAUUUGGAGAUUUUUACUUGGAUGCAUUCAUAACAGAGGGAAAUCCGUUCAUGCAUUUUCAUCCCAUGCAAUUUAGUAGAAGAGGAUAUAUUCUUUGAGUUUGCUGGAAAUACAUUAUAUACUUGUCUCGCAAAGUCUAGACAAGUUUUAUUUUUUAACUAUUGGUUCUAGCAAUUAUUGCUUUUAAACAUUACUAGGAGCCCAUGCAAAUUUCUAACAAACUUUGACAGCAAGUUUAAGGUAGAUCAUUUAAUGGCCUAGUUAUUAGUGAAUGACAAUUGUACUUGUGCUCUUGUUGUUAUCAUUGUAUCUCUAAUUAUUCUCCAUAAAUAUGGGCUCCGGUUCUUAAUAAAAUACAUAAAAGUCUAUUGACUUUUCUAUUCUUCUCUCCUUUUCUCUCUAUUUUAUAAUAUGUUAUCAACACGAAAUUUUUUAUGUAAAAGCACAAAUUAAAUUACUCUAUUUCUUAACGUGUCUAUUCUACAUACAUAUUUAUGUAUACAUGUGAAGUAAUCAAUUUUUCCUCGAUAUUUGUUCCUAUGAGAAUUGACAAUUGCUUUUGUAUACAAUAUUUCCAUGAUGUCAAUCAAUGCUCCGAUCAAUUGCACAAUAUCCAAUUAAUUGCAUUGUUUAUUUUUACAUUUUUGUUUGAUGUGCAUUUAUGAAUGAAUUAUUAGUCAACAUACAUAUUUGCAUAAAUUAAUUGUGAAUGCAUAUCUGUCUUAUUUUUUAGCUUCAUGUUUAUCGUUUGAGUAAUUAUCGCAUUCUUUUUUAAUAUGCAAUAUAAUUUAUGAAUUUGUUACUCUUAUGUUUGUCUGUUACAAAAUAUUAUUGCUCAUGAAGUAGCUUACUAUUAUUUACAUAUAUUCUAGAUAGAUUUCCUUGCUCCCGGAGAAAUAAUUAAAUACAAUUUAACGUAAAUUAUGUUGUACUCCUAAAGAAUAAAUUCUUAUAUAAUUUAUUUUUCUAAAUAAUGUUAUUGGUAUUGAAAAGUGUGAUAUUAUUAUUUUCAAUAUUUUAGAAGAAUAUUUACAUAUUACUCUCGAACAAACAAUAAUAAAAUACUACAUGCUCCCGAAGUAGGACGUUUCAGAAGAAUAUAUCAUUUUGAAUUAAUGUUUAUCCUAAAGGAACACAUAUAGCUCAUGUCAUGUUGAUAUUAAUUACUUAAUUAAUUAUUAUGUGAUUAUAUAAUGUUUAUUCAUAUUUUUUGAAAUUAAUUGUAUUUUCUUUUGCUUAAUUGUGUAGUUUUUCAAAUGGAAAAACAUUAAAGAACUUUAGUUUGUUUCAUUUGAUAAAUCUGGUAAAAAUUAUCUGUCGUAAGUCUUAGAUACCGAGGUUUACUUUAUCUCAAAGGGUAUGAGAGAGAUAAUAAAAGAAAAAAAUUAAGAAUUUUUGUAGGAUCGUGUAAAAGUACUUAUUUUCCUUCGUCACUAUGUUCAUGAUGGAUUGAAAAUCGAAUAUGUUGUUGUGAAGGAUCCACAGAUUCUUUAGAAAAAAAUUUAUUGAAAAGAUUUGACCACCUGAAAACUGUAGUCUUUCUAAAAACCCGUUAUGAAUAGAUGUAUCUUCACUUGAAAAAUUUUAAUUGUUAGUGACUAAUUUUAAAGUGUUUAGAAAAUGUCCAAAAUUGACUUUGUGCAAAGAAAAAAUCACUAAUAAAAUUUUGUUGGAUAACUUUUUUCAUCUUUCAUACUUCGAAUGUAUUCCUACAACAGCAAUAUCAUGAGUGUGGUUUUAGAAAGUACUGAGAACUCAUAUUUUGCCUGCUUGUAGCUUAAUAAAAUAAUGAAUAGUAGAUGAAAAAUUUUGGAUUAUGUCAGUUUGGUUCUAUACCAUUACUUGAAGUAAAUGGUACUGUAUUGUCUGAAACAAAUGAGAUUGUAUUAUUUGAAGAAAAUGCAAUAUCAAGACAAGGACAUGGAUGUGUCCACAGACAUAGGCGAAAACUAUUAGCAACCAGGUAACAAUUUCAAAAGCUUAAAGUAAAAGAAAGUAGCAUAUCUAAAAAAGAGCAUAAAAAGUUGCUUUAGAUGUGAAAUGAAAGGAUAUUAGGUACGUACUUGUCCUACGGUAAAAUAUCUUAUGGAUUUUUACCAAAAAUCAAUAAGGAAAAUGAAAAAGUAAAGACAAAAUUAGUAUAACUCACUUGGGCGUUUCUAAUUGUUUUGUUGACUUAAAUGGCAAUAUUGAUCAUUUAAUCGAAGGUAGUGUGCUCGAUAAUAUUGAUUAGUUUAUUUUUCAUUAUCUUAAUAGUUUAUUUUUAUUUAGAAUUUAUUAUCUGAUUAGAUAAUCAAUAUUUUCAUUUGGCUCAACAAUAAAAUUAAAGACAUCCUAGUGAGUCACAUCAUUUGGAUCAUUAUAAUCAGUGAAAUUUGUCAACACUUUGCCUUUUAUCUUGAUUGAUUUUUGGUAGAGAUUUAUAAGAUGUUUUGCCAUACGAGAGGUACGUGCCCAAUGCUUUUUCAUUCUAUAUCUAAAGCAAUUUUUAAUGCUAUUUUUUGGUUAUACUACUUUCAUUUGCUUAAUACAUUUUCAAAUUGUUGAAUUGUUACUGAUAGUUUUGUUGAUUAUUUCCUCUAUGAUUUUUCUCAUGUCUGCGUCCACAUCCUCGACUUGAUAUUGCAUUUGCUUCAGGCAAUGCAAUACCAUUUACAUUAAGCAAUGGUAUAGAACUAGUUGGACGUAAUGAGCAGAUCAUUAUUUUGUUCAACUGCAAGAUAUAAGUUAUAAUUACUUUUUGAAACCCUGCUCACCAUUCUGUUAGUAUAGGAGAACAUUAGAGGUAUGAAAGGUGGAAACUUUUUUUUAACAUAUUUUCAUCAAUGAUUUUUUCAUCACAGUCAAUUUUAUACAUAUUCUGAACAUUUUAAAAUUGUAGUUAUUAACAGUUUUAAAAUCUUGCAUGCGAAAAUGCAUUUAUUCAUAUUGGGCUUUAGGACGGAUUACAGUUUUCUAGUUGUCAAAUCUUCCAAUCAAUUUUUUCCAACAAACCUAUGGAUACUUCAUAGUUAGGUAUUCGAUCCUACAAGAAUUCUUGAUUUUCUUUUAUAAUUUCUCCCAAACCUUUGGAGACAAGGUGAAUUUUUUAACAUCGAGGACUCGUGACAUAAUUUUUACCAGAUAUGUUGAGUGCAACAAACUCAAGUUUCGUGAUAUUUGACAUUUGAGUGACUGCAUAAUCAAGUAAAAAAUACAAUUAAUUUUGAAGGAUGUGAUUAAACAUUGUAUAAUCACACGAUAACUAAUCAAUAUUAGCAUGACUUGAACUAUAUACUUUCUUUCAAUAAAUAUUAAUUCAAAAUGAUAUAUUCUUCGAAACAUAUACUAGUUCGGGAGUACGUUGUAUUAUGCUAUUGCUUUUUUAAGAGUAAUAUACCAAUAUUCUUUUGAAAUAUUGAGAAUUAUAAUAUCAUGCUUUUCAAGAGUAGUAACAUAUUAUUAUUUAAAAUAAUAAAAUGUAUAAGAAUUUACUCUUUAAGUAUACAAAUAUAAUUUAUGUUAGAUUGUAUUUAAUUAUAUUCUUUGAGAAUAAGUAAAAUACAACUAGAAUAUAUGUAAAUAAUAGUGUGCUGUUUGAGAAACAAUAAUAUUUUAUAAUAGAUAGAUAUAAGAGUACCAAAUUCAUAAAUUAUACUACGUAUUAAAAAAUAAGAAUACGAAAUCGAACGAUAAACAAGAAAAAAAAGAUGUGCAUUUACAAUUAAUUUUUACAGAUAUAUGAUGUUAACUAAUGGUUCAUUCAUAUAUGCACACCAAACGAAAACGUAAAAGUACGUAAUUAUUAAAUACGUGCAAUUGAUUGGACAUCAUGGACAUCAUGCAAUUGAUUGAUAUAAUGAAAAUAUUGUAUGCAGAAGAAACUAUUGAUUCCAAAAGAACAAAUAUCGAGGAAAAGCUGUUGAUUUUUUUACAUAAACACAUAUAGAAAAAUGAACACGUAAAGAAAUAGAGUAAUUUAAUUCGCGUUUUUACCUAAAAAAUUUCAGGUUGAUAACGUGUAUUAAAAUACAGAGAAAAGGAGAGAAGAAUGGAGAAGUUAAUAGACUUGUGUGUAUCUUAUUGAGAACUAGAGUCAGAAUUAAGGAUACAAUGGUAAUAAUAAUUGGGUUGCAGAUGUAUAAUUGUUAUUUACUAAUAAUCAGAUUAUUUACAUUCUCUUAGAAAUUAUUUGAUUGGACGUAUAGAAUAACCAAAAGCAAAUCCGUUGAACCUUAAACACAUAAACCCCUAAUAAAAUUCCUAUUGGCACAGUGAUAUUUAUAAUUCAGGAAUACUUUUGUGAUUGCCCAUUAGGAAUCUUAAUUCAAUUCGUGUUCUUUCUUCUCAAGAAUUGAUCUUGGAUUGAGAUGACUUCACUUUCAGAACUCAACAACGAUGUAGUUCGCAGCAGAUCAAUUGGAACCGUCUUCUCGGAUUUUGUUAGUCCUCUGCUUUCGACUUUCUGUUUCCUGAAUUUUUCCAUUAUGCUAAAGUUGUGAUUAUUAACUUGAAAGUUUUGUAUUAAUUUGCAAAUUUGUUUCGCGACAAACUGGGAGUGAGUGUAUUACGUGUAAGCGUGUGUAUGUUUAAUUUGGUAGGACGCUGUUGGAAUAAAUUUCAGUUGUAUGUUAUGUUGAAAUUGAAGUACACUGGAUGAUCAGGAUUUGGAACGUUUGUUUAGCUCUAGAUUUUAUCCAUCUCUUGUUCAGGGUGGAAAAAUUAAUUCCGCUGAUUUUCAUAGGACAGCUUAUUUAUUAGUAACAGCUAGUGACGACUAUUCGGUGUGAGUUUAUGACAUCAAAGUAAGACCGUUAGCUAGCCAUAAGACCCUGUGCAACCUCGUUGAACCCACAUCUUUUCCCUGGAGGAAUUUACCUUUAAUGACUUUGUAUAAAACUCAGGUUGCUGAAAACUACAUAUCACAUGCAUGAGAGAAGAAAUGUGGGUUUAGGGUGGAUCCGUCACCAGAUACAACAAUAGAGGCAACAUUUACACCUGAUGGCCAAUAUUUGGUUUCUGGUACCACUUCUUUUCCCUUGUCAUUAAUAAUAUUAGAGGUAAGACAUUAGUGGUAAUAUUAUUUUGGUAGUUGUAUGAUGAUAGUAUGCUAUUAGAUAUUUGUAAUGACAAUAGUUGUGGACUACAUCCUUAGGAAAGGUGAGGCAAGUUAUGUUCUCAAACAUCAAGCCAUAAUUACAGCAACAUCUCCAAAAUAUAAAAUCGACACCUGCCACUUAGGUCUUAGAUUUCCAGGGAUUUUUUCAGCCUCGUGGCACUCAAUUCUGCUGGUAUUUGUUUAUGACAUUGUAAUUGAAAUUGAUUCUUGAUUCGGUUCCAGGUUCUGGGGAUGGAAAUCUGCCUGUGUGGAGAAUCGAUAUGCUAGACAACGUAAUCUUCCUGUCCGUGUCCAAUAUGAUCUAAUCAAACCAUUUGAAGAAUGAAGAUGGAAGCUUUUGUGAUAUUGCUCAAGUUCUGUCUACAAAGACAAUUUUCUAAGCCUGUUAAACUUCCUGUGACAGCAGUUGUGGGCCCUUCUACUUCAUCUGUAAAUUUGUAAUGCUCCAUGUCUUUCGAUUUAGCUGAAAGCCAAGUUUCUUAUUUUGACAUUGGGGUGGCGUCCUGGGAUAGCUACAUAGGCGUCGCCUCUUGCCUAAAAUGGGCACCUUGUAGGGUCAUGUUUGCUGCUGCAUCUUCCGUACUCACGUUUUGGAUAAAGAACAACAGCAAGACAACCGCUGAACCUGGAGCUUUGAACCCCAAAAUGAGAGGUUGGACCGCAAAAUUUCUGUAAAAUGAAAUCUUUAUCAGUUUUCUCUCUUCAGUUCGCCUAGGAGUCCCUUUUUGUUGAUUUCUUGACUUGAUCUCAUGAUUUUUUUUUGGAUUUGAAGUCUUAAAGAAUCAUUGUUCAUACAUCAAUAGAAAUCCCAGCUCUGUACUUAAAAUGGUUUAGUUCAUAUUCCAAUGGAGUGUGGCCUCAGAUUUGCUGGCAACUUGUGGAGAUAAUCCUUCUUUAGUGAUCAAAGCAAAAAUUAGUAUC
Molecule: RNA transcript, 6116 nt
Organism: Olea europaea var. sylvestris
Lineage: Eukaryota; Viridiplantae; Streptophyta; Magnoliopsida; Lamiales; Oleaceae
Exons: 3
Source: RefSeq, a predicted model, not a curated record